GAGCCACUGCUGCAUGAGUCUGGAGGAAGUUUCAAGGUUUAUGCCUCUAAAGGAGAGUAUUCUGUCUUUGAUCUGCCGGUCCAUGAGGCGUAUGAUCGAAUCCGACGAACGGUAGGCCUGUUUGUGGAUUCUUGCAUUCCGUUCUGACCAAGCCCAGUAAAUACAUCCUUGCCAGUACAGUCUAAGUAAAAUUUCCUUUGUUGAUCGCCUACUCACUGAUUGUAGCUGUAACAUGACACAGUCCCAUGAUCUCUCAGGUUGGAUCCCACAACGAUGCGCCAAUGUUUC
This 288-nucleotide long non-coding RNA is filed under the name Brassica napus (rape). Its description in RNAcentral is "long non-coding RNA (BNAP_LNC006840)". Lineage: Eukaryota; Viridiplantae; Streptophyta; Magnoliopsida; Brassicales; Brassicaceae. The record is from RNAcentral.